This 523-nucleotide ribosomal RNA is filed under the name uncultured bacterium. RNAcentral's name for it is "partial 16S ribosomal RNA". It matches the Rfam family "Bacterial small subunit ribosomal RNA", at positions 28 to 523 of the family's 1533-position model. The record is from RNAcentral.
GACGAACGCUGGCGGCGUGCCUAAUACAUGCAAGUCGAACGAAGCUUUUUUAACUGGUGCUUGCACCGACUUAAACAACUGAGUGGCGAACGGGUGAGCAACACGUGGGUAACCUGCCCCAAAGCGGGGGAUAACAUUUGGAAACAGAUGCUAAUACCGCAUAACCACAGAAACCACAUGGUUUCUGUGUCAAAGAUGGUUUCGGCUAUCACUUUGGGAGGGACCCGCAGCGUAUUAGCUAGUUGGUAAGGUAAUGGCUUACCAAGGCAUGAUACGUAGCCGAACUGAGAGGUUGAUCGGCCACAUUGGGACUGAGACACGGCCCAAACUCCUACGGGAGGCAGCAGUAGGGAAUCUUCCACAAUGGACGAAAGUCUGAUGGAGCAACGCCGCGUGAGUGAAGAAGGUUUUCGGAUCGUAAAACUCUGUUGUCAGAGAAGAACGUGUGCGAGAGUAACUGUUCGCGCAGUGACGGUAUCUGGCCAGAAAGCCACGGCUAACUACGUGCCAGCCGCCGCCGUAA